AUUGAACGCUGGCGGCAUGCCUUACACAUGCAAGUCGAACGGCAGCACGGGUGCUUGCACCUGGUGGCGAGUGGCCAACGGGUGAGUAAUACAUCGGAACGUACCUUAUCGUGGGGGAUAACGCAGCGAAAGCUGUGCUAAUACCGCAUACGCCCUGAGGGGGAAAGCGGGGGAUCGAAAGACCUCGCGCGAUUAGAGCGGCCGAUGCCUGAUUAGCUUGUUGGUGGGGUAAAAGCCCACCAAGGCGACGAUCAGUAGCUGGUCUGAGAGGACGAUCAGCCACACUGGGACUGAGACACGGCCCAGACUCCUACGGGAGGCAGCAGUGUGGAAUUUUGGACAAUGGUGGCAACCCUGAUCCAGCAAUGCCGCGUGAGUGAAGAAGGCCUUCGGGUUGUAAAGCUCUUUUGUCAGGGAAGAAACACCGGCUCUAACACAGUCCGGGGAUGACGGUACCUGAAGAAUAAGCACCGGCUAACUACGUGCCAGCCGCCGCAGUAA
This 501-nucleotide ribosomal RNA is filed under the name uncultured bacterium. RNAcentral describes it as "partial 16S ribosomal RNA". It matches the Rfam family "Bacterial small subunit ribosomal RNA", at positions 30 to 523 of the family's 1533-position model. The record is from RNAcentral.